GACGAACGCUGGCGGCGUGCUUAACACAUGCCAGUCGAACGGAAAGGCCCUGCUUUUGUGGGGUGCUCGAGUGGCGAACGGGUGUGUAACACGUGAGUAACCUGCCCUGGACUUUGGGAUAACUUCAGGAAACUGGGGCUAAUGCCGGCUAGGAGCUCCUGCUGCAUGGUGGGGGUUGGAAAGUUUCGGCGGUUGGGGAUGGACUCGCGGGUUAUCAGCUUGUUGGGGGGGUAGUGGCUUACCAAGGCUUUGACGGGUAGCCGGCCUGAGAGGGUGAACGGCCACAUUGGGACUGAGAUAGGGACCAGUCGGCUACGGGAGGCAGCAGUGGGGAAUAUUACACAAUGGGCGGAAGCCUGAUGAAGCAGCGCCGCGUGCGGGAUGACGGCCUUCGGGUUGUAAACCGCAUUCGCCUGUGACGAAGCGUGAGUGACGGUAAUGGGUAAAGAAGCACCGGCUAACUACGUG
Molecule: ribosomal RNA, 468 nt
Filed under: uncultured bacterium
Lineage: Bacteria
Description: partial 16S ribosomal RNA
Rfam family: Bacterial small subunit ribosomal RNA
Source: RNAcentral